CACGGAGUUAGCCGAUCCUUAUUCUUACAGUACCGUCAAUCUUCCACACGUGAAAGUGGUUUCUUCCUGUACAAAAGCAGUUUACAAUCCAUAUGGACCUGUCAUCCUGCACGCUGGCAUGGCUGGAUCAGUGCUUGCUGCCCAUUGUCCAAUAUUCCCCACUGCUGCCUCCCGUAGUGCCCCCCGUGCCCCCUGCCCCUGCCCUGCCUGCGCGCUGUGCUGGGCUGA
Molecule: ribosomal RNA, 228 nt
Filed under: uncultured bacterium
Lineage: Bacteria
Description: partial 16S ribosomal RNA
Source: RNAcentral